CGCCGUAAACGAUGGAUGCUAGCNGUNNGUGAGCUUGCUCAUCAGUGGCGCAGCUAACGCAUUAAGCAUCCCGCCUGGGGAGUACGGUCGCAAGAUUAAAACUCAAAGGAAUUGACGGGGGCCCGCACAAGCGGUGGAGCAUGUGGUUCAAUUCGACGCAACGCGAAGAACCUUACCAGCUUUUGACAUGUCCGGUAUGAGCAUCAGAGAUGAAGCUCUUCAGUUCGGCUGGCCGGAACACAGGCGCUGCAUGGCCGUCGUCAGCUCGUGUCGUGAGAUGUUGGGUUAAGUCCCGCAACGAGCGCAACCCUCGUCCCUAGUUGCCAUCAUUCAGUUGGGCACUCUAGGGGGACUGCCGGUGAUAAGCCGCGAGGAGGGUGGGGAUGACGUCAAGUCCUCAUGGCCCUUACAGGCUGGGCUACACACGUGCUACAAUGGCGGUGACAGUGGGAUGCGGAGGCGCAAGCCGGAGCUAAUCUCAAAAAGCCGUCUCAGUUCGGAUUGCACUCUGCAACUCGAGUGCAUGAAGUUGGAAUCGCUAGUAAUCGUGGAUCAGCACGCCACGGUGAGUACGUUCCCGGGCCUUGUACACACCGCCCGUCACACCAUGGGAGUUGGUUUUACCUUAAGACGGUUUGCU
Molecule: ribosomal RNA, 640 nt
Filed under: uncultured bacterium
Lineage: Bacteria
Description: bacterial SSU rRNA
Rfam family: Bacterial small subunit ribosomal RNA
Source: RNAcentral